ACGGGAGGCAGCAGUGGGGAAUAUUGCGCAAUGGGGGGAACCCUGACGCAGCAAUACCGCGUGAGUGAAGAAGGUUUUCGGCUCGUAAAACUCUUUUAUCAGGGAAGAAAGAUGACGGUACCUGAUGAAGAAGUCCCGGCUAACUACGUGCCAGCAGCCGCGGUAAUACGUAGGGGACAAGCGUUGUCCGGAAUGACUGGGCGUAAAGGGCACGUAGGCGGUUUGAUAAGUCUGAUGUGAAAGGUACCGGCUCAACCGGUGACCUGCAUUGGAAACUGUCAGACUUGAGUACUGGAGAGGCAAGCGGAAUUCCUAGUGUAGCGGUGAAAUGCGUAGAUAUUAGGAAGAACACCGGAGGCGAAGGCGGCUUGCUGGACAGAGACUGACGCUGAGGCACGAGGGCGGGGGGAGCAAACAGGAUUAGAUACCAUGGUA
RNAcentral lists this ribosomal RNA (435 nucleotides) under uncultured Pseudoramibacter sp. RNAcentral describes it as "bacterial SSU rRNA". It matches the Rfam family "Bacterial small subunit ribosomal RNA", at positions 341 to 792 of the family's 1533-position model. Lineage: Bacteria; Bacillati; Bacillota; Clostridia; Eubacteriales; Eubacteriaceae. The record is from RNAcentral.